UAGCAAACUGCUUGGGACAGUAUUAGUUUGUUGAAGUAGCACUUGUAUGCCAAACAAAAAACUAACUGUCCAAUGUUGAAAUGGAUUUCCUCUGGAAGGGCCAGGAUGCUGUACAGUUGCCAUUCACACCUCUCAUGCCUCCAAAAUCUGGGUGAUGAAAAACCCUACAUAGAUAGGAAAAGAAAAAAUCACAGCUGACGAGACACAGAAUGACAAAACAAAGCUCUCUUCCCUGUCCUUAGGAGAAAAUUGUAGCUGCCUGCUCCAGUCCUUGCCUGUGGGAAUUAAAAAAGAAGGUUCAGAAGUAAGGGCUAAAUGUUAUGAAGACCAGAAGCAGCAGCAACUGAGGAGCAGGGCCAGACUGGACAUACGGCGCUGCUUUGUACACUUACAGCUGUGCAAGCAAGGUGAACUCAACCAUUAUAUUAAAAAAAACCAAAUAAUCAAAACCACCACCACCACCAAAGUUACAAACUUUCA
Chiroxiphia lanceolata (lance-tailed manakin) is the source of this 480-nucleotide long non-coding RNA. RefSeq lists it as uncharacterized. NCBI's taxonomy places the organism in Eukaryota, Metazoa, Chordata, Aves, Passeriformes, Pipridae. The record is from RefSeq and is a predicted model, not a curated record. The transcript is spliced from 2 exons.